AUUGAACGCUGGCGGCAUGCUUUACACAUGCAAGUCGAGCGGCAGCGCGGGACUCAGGCAACUGAGCCCUGGCGGCGAGCGGCGAACGGGUGAGGAAUACAUCGGAACGUGUCCCGUAGUGGGGGAUAGCUCGGCGAAAGCCGGAUUAAUACCGCAUAUGCUCUACGGAGGAAAGCCGGGGACCUGCAAGGGCCUGGCGCUAUGGGAGCGGCCGAUGCCGAUUAGCUAGUUGGUGAGGUAAAGGCUCACCAAGGCGACGAUCGGUAGCUGGUCUGAGAGGAUGAUCAGCCACACUGGGACUGAGACACGGCCCAGACUCCUACGGGAGGCAGCAGUGGGGAAUUUUGGACAAUGGGGCAACCCUGAUCCAGCCAUGCCGCGUGCGGGAUGAAGGAUCUAGGUCUGUAAACUCCUUUUGUUGGGAAGACUUAGGACGGUACCAACGAAUAAGCACCGGCUAACUACGUGACAGCCGCCGCAGUAAU
RNAcentral lists this ribosomal RNA (485 nucleotides) under uncultured bacterium. RNAcentral describes it as "bacterial SSU rRNA". It matches the Rfam family "Bacterial small subunit ribosomal RNA", at positions 29 to 524 of the family's 1533-position model. The record is from RNAcentral.